GACGUAGGGUCCAAGCGUUGUCCGGAUUUAUUGGGCGUAAAGCGCGCGCAGGUGGUUCGCUAAGUCCGGUGUGAAAUCUCCCGGCUCACCUGGGAGGGUGCGCUGGAGACUGGCGGACUGGAGGCAGGCAGAGGUCGGUGGAAUUCCCGGUGUAGUGGUGAAAUGCGUAGAGAUCGGGAGGAACACCAGUGGCGAAGGCGGAGACCUGGGCCAAUACUGACGCUGAGGUGCGAAAGCGUGGGGAGCAGACAGG
RNAcentral lists this ribosomal RNA (253 nucleotides) under uncultured bacterium. RNAcentral describes it as "partial 16S ribosomal RNA". It matches the Rfam family "Bacterial small subunit ribosomal RNA", at positions 524 to 776 of the family's 1533-position model. The record is from RNAcentral.